RNAcentral lists this signal recognition particle RNA (265 nucleotides) under Abditibacteriota bacterium. RNAcentral describes it as "signal recognition particle sRNA large type". It matches the Rfam family "Bacterial large signal recognition particle RNA". Rfam says of the family: The signal recognition particle (SRP) is a universally conserved ribonucleoprotein involved in the co-translational targeting of proteins to membranes. Archaeal SRP consists of a 7S RNA and homologues of the eukaryotic SRP19 and SRP54 proteins. In most bacteria, the SRP consists of a 4.5S RNA and the Ffh protein (a homologue of the eukaryotic SRP54 protein). The record is from RNAcentral. Lineage: Bacteria; Pseudomonadati; Abditibacteriota.
CCGUGCUAGACGGGGAACCGGCGGUGCCCUGUAGCUCGCAAUCCGCCAUAGCGAGGUUGAAUCCCCGCCCGAGGUUCGGUCUUUUUCGGUAUGUGUUUCGACCGGGAUGUUGAACGCCGGACCCCGCGCAAUGUUUAACUUGCGAACUCCGUCAGGUCCGGGAGGAAGCAGCGGUAAGCUUGAUUGGCAUGUGCCGCGGGUCUUCCGGCCGGAGUCUUGUGUCGAAAAAACGCCGGAGAGGUCCCUAUCGGAGGCGGGUGCACGG